Molecule: ribosomal RNA, 693 nt
Filed under: uncultured Nitrososphaerota archaeon
Lineage: Archaea; Thermoproteati; Nitrososphaerota
Description: bacterial SSU rRNA
Rfam family: Archaeal small subunit ribosomal RNA
Source: RNAcentral
AGCUUGUUGGUGGGGUAAAGGCCCACAAGGCGAUUACAGGUACGGGCUCUGAGAGGAGAAGCCUGGAGAUGGGUACUGAGACACGGACCCAGGCCCUAUGGGGCGCAGCAGGCGAGAAAACUUUGCAAUGUGCGAAAGCACGACAAGGUUAAUCCGAGUGAUUUCUGCUAAAGGAAUCUUUUGCCAGUUCUAAAAAUACUAGUGAAUAAGGGGUGGGCAAGUUCUGGUGUCAGCCGCCGCGGUAAAACCAGCACCUCAAGUGGUCAGGAGGAUUAUUGGGCCUAAAGCAUCCGUAGCCUGCUCUGUAAGUUUUCGGUUAAAUCUAUAUGCUCAACGUAUAGGCCGCCGAAAAUACUGCAGUGCUAGGAAGUGGGAGAGGUAGACGGUACUUGGUAGGAAGGGGUAAAAUCCUUUGAUCUAUCGAUGACCACCUGUGGCGAAGGCGGUCUACCAGAACACGUUCGACGGUGAGGGAUGAAAGCUGGGGGAGCAAACCGGAUUAGAUACCCGGGUAGUCCCAGCUGUAAACGAUGCAGACUCGAUGAUGCAUUGGCAUAUAGCCAGUGCAGUGUCGCAGGGAAGCCGUUAAGUCUGCCGCCUGGGAAGUACGUACGCAAGUAUGAAACUUAAAGGAAUUGGCGGGGGAGCACCACAAGGGGUGAAGCCUGCGGUUCAAUUGGAGUCAACGCCGGA